GACGAACGCUGGCGGCGUGCUUAACACAUGCAAGUCGAACGGAAAGGCCCUGCUUUUGUGGGGUGCUCGAGUGGCGAACGGGUGAGUAACACGUGAGUAACCUGCCCUUGACUUUGGGAUAACUUCAGGAAACUGGGGCUAAUACCGGAUAGGAGCUCCUGCUGCAUGGUGGGGGUUGGAAAGUUUCGGCGGUUGGGGAUGGACUCGCGGCUUAUCAGCUUGUUGGUGGGGUAGUGGCUUACCAAGGCUUUGACGGGUAGCCGGCCUGAGAGGGUGACCGGCCACAUUGGGACUGAGAUACGGCCCAGACUCCUAUGGGAGGCAGCAGUGGGGAAUAUUGCACAAUGGGCGGAAGCCUGAUGCAGCAACGCCGCGUGCGGGAUGACGGCCUUCGGGUUGUAAACCGCUUUCGCCUGUGACGAAGCGUGAGUGACGGUAAUGGGUAAAGAAGCACCAGCUAACUACGUG
Molecule: ribosomal RNA, 468 nt
Filed under: uncultured bacterium
Lineage: Bacteria
Description: partial 16S ribosomal RNA
Rfam family: Bacterial small subunit ribosomal RNA
Source: RNAcentral